Pistacia vera is the source of this 4426-nucleotide RNA transcript. RefSeq lists it as uncharacterized. The record is from RefSeq and is a predicted model, not a curated record. The transcript is spliced from 9 exons. NCBI's taxonomy places the organism in Eukaryota, Viridiplantae, Streptophyta, Magnoliopsida, Sapindales, Anacardiaceae.
GCUGACAUAAUAUACUUGCACCCAUAGACCAUAGUACUCAUCUCUGAAAUCGCAAAAGUAAACCCGAAGGACUUUCAUUUAGAUUUAACUAUAGAUUACGAAAACGCAAGAUCGAGAUGUUGGAGAAGAUCGGAUUGCCUACAAAACCAUCGCUUCGAGGAAGCAAUUGGGUGGUUGAUGCCUCACAUUGCCAAGGAUGUACCUCCCAGUUCACCUUCAUCAAUCGCAAGCACCACUGUCGACGCUGUGGUGGCUUGUUUUGUAAUAGUUGCACCCAGCAGAGAAUGUAUCUGCGUGGGCAAGGUGAUUCGCCGGUGCGUAUUUGUGAACCUUGUAAGAAACUUGAGGAGGCAGCUCGUUUCGAGAUGCGACAUGGACACAAGAGUAGGGUCUCUAAAGGUAGUUCAAAACUGGCAGUGAAGGAUGAGGAUGAGGUUUUGAACCAGAUUUUAGGUACAGAUGGAAAGGGACUGGUAUCCAAUAAGGACUUGGGUUCCAGUAUGCAAAGAGCAACUAGCAGCGGUUCAUGUUCGAAUACUCAAGAUGGCCUGGGAGAUAUGCAUAGAAGUAUUUCUGUUGAUGACCAGAAUCCACUGCAGAAUGAUAUUGGAUCUGCUAGUCCUGAGGAAUUACGCCAAAGGGCUGUGGAAGAAAAAAAGAAAUAUAAAAUUCUGAAAGGAGAAGGGAAACCUGAAGAAGCUUUAAAAGCCUUUAAGAGAGGGAAGGAGCUUGAGAGGCAAGCUGAUGCAUUAGAGAUAUCCUUGAGAAAAAACCGUAAAAGAGUUCUGUCUUCUGGAAAUGGAGCAGAGAUCCAGAAUAAAGACAUCUUCAAAGAAUCUGGUAGAAAAAAUAAGCUACUUCCAAAAGUGGGUGCAGAAAAGGAUGAUUUCGCAGCUGAGCUGAGGGAACUAGGGUGGUCUGACAUGGACAUUCAGCAUGAAGAUAAAAAAUCAGCAAGUGUGAGUUUGGAGGGUGAACUCUCUUCUCUUCUUGGAGACAUCUCUCAGAAGACUGGUAAAAAUACAGGUACUCAUGGGAUUGACACGUCCCCAGUUAUUGCUCUUAAAAGAAAGGCACUGAUUUUAAAGCGUGAAGGGAAGCUUGCGGAGGCCAAGGAAGAACUAAAGAGAGCUAAGAUUUUAGAAAAGGAACUUGAAGAACAACAACUCUUGGCCGGGGCUGAAGAGUCUGAUGAUGAGCUAUCUGCAAUAAUUCGCAGUGUCGACAACGAUGAAGAAGAUGACUUUCCAAUUCAGUAUGAGCGGGAAGCUAAUCUUGAUCACUUUGACAUCACUGUGGGUGAUCUUGGUGUUGACAGUAAUUUUGAAGUAACAGAUGAGGAUAUGGAGGACCCAGAAAUAGCUGGUGCCUUGAAAUCAUUAGGUUGGACUGAGGAUUCUGAUCUGGCUGAUAACGUUGCUCGCCAGUCUGUUCCCGUGGACCGGGAAGCACUAUCAAGGGAAAUUCUUUCAUUAAAAAAAGAGGCCCUUAAUUACAAACGGGCAGGUAACGUUGCAGAGGCAAUGGCUCAGCUAAAAAAAGCGAUGUUACUUGAGCAAGACCUAGAAAUUAUUCACACAGGCUCAAUUUCUCAAGCUGAUGAGAAGUUAUCACAGAAAACUAAGGUGGAUGAUAAAAACACCGAAUUUACGAAAGACAUGCAUUCCAAGGUUGCACCAAAGAGUAGAUUGAUGAUUCAGAAAGAGCUUCUGGGUCUAAAAAAGAAGGCUCUUGCUUUGAGAAGGGAAGGAAGAUUUGAUGAGGCCGAGGAAGAACUGAAAAAAGGGAAGGUUCUUGAGCAUCAGCUGGAAGAGACGGACAAUGCUUCCAAAGUGCAGGCUACUGGUAAUAAGGAGUCAGAUUUAACAUUUAAGCAUUCUGUCGCAUCUGUAGAUCUUCCAGUUGGAGAAGGUGAAGAUGAUGUAACAGAUCAAGAUAUGAAUGAUCCAACAUACCUGUCAAUUUUAAGCAACUUAGGUUGGAAUGAUGAAGAUAAUGGAUCUUCGAGUCAACAAUUACAACCUUCCAACCUGAAGAGAAGUAAAGGAGAAAUCCAGAGAGAACUUCUAAAUUUGAAAAGAAAGGCCCUGGCUCUUAGACGUAAAGGGGAAACUGAAGAGGCUGAAGAAUUGCUGAAAAUGGCGAAGGUACUGGAGGCUCAAAUGGAAGAACUUGAAGCCCCAAAGGAGAAUCUGCUUGAUGCUUCGAAGAACAAAAAAUCUGGGAGUUUUGAAUCAUUGAAAAACCAUGACACACAGGAGAAUCUGGUUCAUGAGGUGGGAGUGAAUACAGGAUCAGCCCCUGUGGCAGUGGAUUCUAAUGACAACGCUGUUGAGUCUUCUCCGCUUGUUAAAAGCAAUCAUCGAUUAUUAGGAGAAGUGGGUCCCACUGGUGAAACUGAUGUUACAGGCUAUAAAGGAGCAGCUGAGGGCACUACCUUUAUUCCUCCAACAAGCCAGUCUUUGAACUCAAUGGAUUUGCUGAUAGGAAACAACUGGACUAGUUCUCAAAUAACCGCUGGAAAACCAGAAGAUAAAGGAAAUCUUGGUUCUGAGAUUUCUUCUCUUGCAAGAUCUUCAGUUCAAAUGGAUUCCUCGUCAAAAUUACAUGAAAAUCUGGGAAGCAAAAAUGAUGUUCAAAAUGAUAAAAGAGAGGUGGUUCAAGCAAAUGAGAAUCCACUUAUUCAUGAAGCAAAUUCAGUCCAUGUAUCUGCUUCUCAGAACAACCAGACUUCCCUGCAGCAAGAAGUUUUAGCUCGCAAGAGGAAGGCACUUGCUUUAAAAAGAGAAGGGAAAUUAGCUGAAGCAAGAGAGGAACUCCGGCAGGCAAAGCUAUUGGAGAAGAAACUGGAGGAUGACAGCAUCCAGCCAAAAAGCAGCCCACCUGAUGUGUCAGUAACUACAUCCAACCUUCCUUCUGUUGGACAAAAGGAGCAUGACACAUCAAAUUCAGCUCCAAAACCAUUGUCUGCCCGUGAUCGUUUUAAGUUGCAGCAGGAAUCCCUCAGCCAUAAACGCAAGGCCCUGAAGCUAAGAAGGGAAGGUCGAAUGGAUGAAGCAGAAGCUGAGUUUGAAAUGGCAAAGAAUCUUGAAGCUCAGUUGGAGGAGCUGACAGCUCAUGAUUCCAAGUCUUCUGUCAAUGAGGCAGAACCGGUGGAUGACAUUGGUGUGGAAGAUCUUCUUGAUCCUCAACUUUUGUCUGCAUUGAAAGCCAUUGGAAUAAAUGAUCCUAAUGUGGUGACACAAGGCCCAAAAAGUGAAGAGCCUAUGAAACACAGUGGUGGUAAGUCUGAGAAUUUGGGCAAAGAGAGAAUUCAAUUGGAAGAAAGACCAGAGCCUUCAAAACAUAGUGCUGGAAAGAGUGAAAGCUUUAGCCAAGAGAAAAUUCAGUUGGAAGAAAGAAUCAAGGCAGAAAAGGUGAAGGCAUUGAACUUAAAACGUUCAGGAAAACAAGCUGAGGCCUUGGAUGCUCUUCGCCGGGCAAAACUAUUUGAAAGGAAAUUGAAUUCUUUGGCAUCAAAUUGAAGAAUCAAGGAUAUAUAAUAUUAGGAAAGGAAGUCUUCCUGGUAUUGACUCUGGUUGAUACUACAGUAGGUGAGGUCAGUAAAUAUGUUACAUAAGAAGAUUGCUAGAAGGUAAAGAAUAGUAGGAUGCCUCCUUGGCCUAGUGCGGGUUUUUCCAUGUGUGUUCAUAAGAAGGGUGCUUUGCUGUUCAGGGAUGUUGUAGAUAUGGAGAUGGAAGUUAUAGUGACCAAAUGAAAGCCUUCUUUUGGACGUAGAUAUCUGUUGGAGCUAAGGAAAGAGAAGUCAACAAAAGGCAAGGUAAACCUUUAUGUGGGUAUCUGCCAUCUGCUAGAGAAAUUCCUCCAAGCAUGACCGUCGAUGGUGGUAGGUUGGCUACUAAACAUGAUGGAAAGCUUUAGGAAUCUAAGACUGAAUCGGAUUUGCAAAAUUUUGUUUCACCAGAGAUAGUGAAGUCCUUUGGAUGAAUUAAUUGGUGCAUGGUUGGUGGGAAAGAUACAUUAUACAUAAAUGGGGAAUGAUGGAGAUUAAUGAUCGGGAAAUUGCACUUGAUGAUAUGUAUUUUCUCAAUCUCAGCAAACUUGAUGAAUGGAAGGGAAUCAUACUGCCAUCAGAAUCUGAGUAGAUAGUGGCAUCAGACGGUGAAGACAAGGAUGAAGAUGACGACAAUGAUAGCAAUAGCGAUGAGAUUGAUGAUAAUGGCGACGAAGAUGCACAGGUGGCUUUUAGAAUCUUUGUGAGGAAACAUAUGAAGAUUGAUGUCAUGCGGGGUCUAAGAUGAUGUUCUUAUUUUUAAAGUGACUUGCAUGGUGUUUGGUUGCUAAGAAAAGUAGAGAAAGUGUAUAUAAAAUAGAGGCAGGCUCCAAAAAAUUUAGAGAGGAUUUUAGAAAACAAUCGAUAAUUCAU